AUUGAACGCUGGCGGCAGGCCUAACACAUGCAAGUCGAGCGAGCGGCGGACGGGUGAGUAAUGUCUGGGGAACUGCCCGAUGGAGGGGGAUAACUACUGGAAACGGUAGCUAAUACCGCAUACUAUCGGAUGUACCCAUAUGGGAUUAGCUAGUAGGUGCGGUAAUGGCUCACCUAGGCGACGAUCCCUAGCUGGUCUGAGAGGAUGACCAGCCACACUGGGACUGAGACACGGCCCAGACUCCUACGGGAGGCAGCAGUGGGGAAUAUUGCACAAUGGGCACAAGCCUGAUGCAGCCAUGCCGCGUGUAUGAAGAAGGCCCUAGGGUUGUAAAGCACUUUCAGCGGGGAGGCGUUACCGACAGAAGAAGCACCGGCUAACUCCGUGCCAGCAGCCGCGGUAAUAC
Molecule: ribosomal RNA, 406 nt
Filed under: uncultured bacterium
Lineage: Bacteria
Description: partial 16S ribosomal RNA
Rfam family: Bacterial small subunit ribosomal RNA
Source: RNAcentral